This 527-nucleotide ribosomal RNA is filed under the name uncultured bacterium. RNAcentral describes it as "partial 16S ribosomal RNA". It matches the Rfam family "Bacterial small subunit ribosomal RNA", at positions 355 to 871 of the family's 1533-position model. The record is from RNAcentral.
UGGGGAAUAUUGCACAAUGGGCGCAAGCCUGAUGCAGCCAUGCCGCGUGUGUGAAGAAGGCCUUCGGGUUGUAAAGCACUUUCAGCGAGGAGGAAGGUGGUGAGCUUAAUACGCUCAUCAAUUGACGUUACUCGCAGAAGAAGCACCGGCUAACUCCGUGCCAGCAGCCGCGGUAAUACGGAGGGUGCAAGCGUUAAUCGGAAUUACUGGGCGUAAAGCGCACGCAGGCGGUUUGUUAAGUCAGAUGUGAAAUCCCCGGGCUCAACCUGGGAACUGCAUUUGAAACUGGCAAGCUAGAGUCUCGUAGAGGGGGGUAGAAUUCCAGGUGUAGCGGUGAAAUGCGUAGAGAUCUGGAGGAAUACCGGUGGCGAAGGCGGCCCCCUGGACGAAGACUGACGCUCAGGUGCGAAAGCGUGGGGCAGCAAACAGGAUUAGAUACCCUGGUAGUCCACGCUGUAAACGAUGUCGAUUUUGGAGGUUGUGCUCUUGAGGCGUGGCUUCCGGAGCUAACGCGUUAAAGUCGACCG